RNAcentral lists this ribosomal RNA (425 nucleotides) under uncultured bacterium. RNAcentral's name for it is "bacterial SSU rRNA". It matches the Rfam family "Bacterial small subunit ribosomal RNA", at positions 354 to 796 of the family's 1533-position model. The record is from RNAcentral.
GUGGGGAAUCUUGCACAAUGGGGGAAACCCUGAUGCAGCGACGCCGCGUGAGUGAUGAAGCCCUUCGGGGUGUAAAGCUCUUUCGACAGGGACGAUAAUGACGGUACCUGGAGAAGAAGCUGCGGCUAACUACGUGCCAGCAGCCGCGGUAAUACGUAGGCAGCAAACGUUGUUCGGAGUUACUGGGCGUAAAGAGUGCGUAGGCGGUUCGCCAAGUUUGGUGUGAAAUCUCCCGGCUUAACUGGGAGGGUGCGCCGAAAACUGGCGGGCUUGAGUGUGGGAGAGGGAAGCGGAAUUCCUGGUGUAGCGGUGAAAUGCGUAGAUAUCAGGAGGAACACCGGUGGUGUAGACGGCUUCCUGGACCACAACUGACGCUGAGGCACGAAAGCGUGGGUAGCAAACAGGAUUAGAAACCCCGGUAGUCC